RNAcentral lists this ribosomal RNA (253 nucleotides) under uncultured bacterium. RNAcentral describes it as "partial 16S ribosomal RNA". It matches the Rfam family "Bacterial small subunit ribosomal RNA", at positions 524 to 776 of the family's 1533-position model. The record is from RNAcentral.
UACGGAGGGAGCUAGCGUUAUUCGGAAUUACUGGGCGUAAAGCGCACGUAGGCGGCUUUGUAAGUUAGAGGUGAAAGCCUGAAGCUCAACUUCAGAAUUGCCUUUAAGACUGCAUCGCUUGAAUCCAGGAGAGGUGAGUGGAAUUCCGAGUGUAGAGGUGAAAUUCGUAGAUAUUCGGAAGAACACCAGUGGCGAAGGCGGCUCACUGGACUGGUAUUGACGCUGAGGUGCGAAAGCGUGGGGAGCGAACAGG